GAUGAACGCUGGCGGCGUGCCUAAUACAUGCAAGUCGAGCGAACGGACGAGAAGCUUGCUUCUCUGAUGUUAGCGGCGGACGGGUGAGUAACACGUGGAUAACCUACCUAUAAGACUGGGAUAACUUCGGGAAACCGGAGCUAAUACCGGAUAAUAUUUUGAACCGCAUUGUUCAAAAGUGAAAGACGGUCUUUCUGUCACUUAUAGAUGGAUCCGCGCUGCAUUAGCUAGUUGGUAAGGUAACGGCUUACCAAGGCAACGAUGCAUAGCCGACCUGAGAGGGUGAUCGGCCACACUGGAACUGAGACACGGUCCAGACUCCUACGGGAGGCAGCAGUAGGGAAUCUUCCGCAAUGGGCGAAAGCCUGACGGAGCAACGCCGCGUGAGUGAUGAAGGUCUUCGGAUCGUAAAACUCUGUUAUUAGGGAAGAACAUAUGUGUAAGUAACUGUGCACAUCUUGACGGUACCUAAUCAGAAAGCCACGGCUAACUACGUG
This 497-nucleotide ribosomal RNA is filed under the name uncultured bacterium. RNAcentral describes it as "partial 16S ribosomal RNA". It matches the Rfam family "Bacterial small subunit ribosomal RNA", at positions 28 to 507 of the family's 1533-position model. The record is from RNAcentral.